CGAUGCCUAAGACAUGCAAGUCGUACGAGGUGGACCAUGAGAUUGAGUGCUUGCACAAUUUUCGGAUUUGGUUUUCCACCUAGUGGCGGACGGGUGAGUAACACGUGGGUGACCUGCCUUUGAGUUUGGGAUAACUACUGGAAACGGUAGCUAAUACCGAAUGACAUACAGUUUCGUUUCUGUAUUAAAAGAUGCUUUCAAGCAUCGCUCUUAGAUGGGCCUGCGGCGUAUUAGCUAGUUGGUGAGGUAAUGGCUCACCAAGGCAACGAUGCGUAGCCGGACUGAGAGGUUGAACGGCCACAUUGGGACUGAGACACGGCCCAAACUCCUACGGGAGACAGCAGUUAGGAAUAUUCGUCAAUGGGGGAAACCCUGAACGAGCAAUGCCGCGUGAGUGAUGAAGGUCCUUUGGAUUGUAAAACUCUGUUGUAUGGGAAGAACGACCAGAAUAGGAAAUGAUUCUGGAGUGACGGUACCAUGCCAGAAAGCUCCGGCUAACUACGUG
This 505-nucleotide ribosomal RNA is filed under the name uncultured bacterium. RNAcentral describes it as "bacterial SSU rRNA". It matches the Rfam family "Bacterial small subunit ribosomal RNA", at positions 43 to 507 of the family's 1533-position model. The record is from RNAcentral.